This is a long non-coding RNA of Pipistrellus kuhlii (Kuhl's pipistrelle), 736 nucleotides long. RefSeq lists it as uncharacterized. The record is from RefSeq and is a predicted model, not a curated record. NCBI's taxonomy places the organism in Eukaryota, Metazoa, Chordata, Mammalia, Chiroptera, Vespertilionidae. The transcript is spliced from 2 exons.
CGAACCCCAGGCCAUUCAGUCUGUGGGCUGAUGCCCCAACCACUGAGCCAAACCAGCAAGGGCCAGUCUCUCUCUCAAGGAGUUUGCUCAGCCCCUCAGGAUCUUAAUCAUUGGCUUGAUUGAGAAAAAGUUAUGCUGAUGGGUGAAAAUGGCCUUUCAUGAGAACCCACAUUAUCGCAAUUAUCCAAACAAGAUCCUAUCUCGUAUAAAAGAAACACAAACAGCUGUAUUUGGCAUCUCGUCUUGAAAGGCGUUUGACUUUUCUGGUUAUUCAAGAGCUGCAUUAACCAAGAUAAGACUCAUCAUGAUCCCACCUUCUCCAGAAGCUUCUGACCAGAGGAGUUGGUUGCUGAGAAUAUGGGAGGGGUGGUUUCCUCAGGAUAUUUACAAAUGCAUCUGGUUGUUUAAUAUUGGAUUGAUCAUACUCCUCCUGGGAAUUUCUGUGGAAGCUUUUUUAGCAAGCUAUAUACCUUUUUCUCUUGCAAUGAUAAUGACUGUUACUGGAGUUGUUUUUGCUGCUAUUGUUGUAAUGUUCACUUUGUAUGAAGCACGCCAAAACUCAUCUUUCACCUUAGAAUCAUCAAACCUGAGAAACACUCAGAGGGACAGAAACAUCGAUUUUGAAAUGGACACAUGGGAAGCAGGCACUAGACUAUAACUUUUAUUAAACCCAAAUAAUUUGGGCUUUUAGACCCCAUGUACGCAUUGUUUUAAAUAGAAAUAAACUCUGGCUUAU